This 492-nucleotide ribosomal RNA is filed under the name uncultured bacterium. RNAcentral's name for it is "partial 16S ribosomal RNA". It matches the Rfam family "Bacterial small subunit ribosomal RNA", at positions 29 to 507 of the family's 1533-position model. The record is from RNAcentral.
AGUGAACGCUGGCGGUAGGCCUAACACAUGCAAGUCGAACGGCAGCACAGUAAGAGCUUGCUCUUACGGGUGGCGAGUGGCGGACAGGUGAGGAGUACAUCGGAAUCUACUUUUUCGUGGGGGAUAACGUAGGGAAACUUACGCUAAUACCGCAUACGACCUACGGGUGAAAGCAGGGGAUCUUCGGACCUUGCGCGAUUGAAUGAGCCGAUGUCGGAUUAGCUAGUUGGCGGGGUAAAGGCCCACCAAGGCGACGAUCCGUAGCUGGUCUGAGAGGAUGAUCAGCCACACUGGAACUGAGACACGGUCCAGACUCCUACGGGAGGCAGCAGUGGGGAAUAUUGGACAAUGGGCGCAAGCCUGAUCCAGCCAUACCGCGUGGGUGAAGAAGGCCUUCGGGUUGUAAAGCCCUUUUGUUGGGAAAGAAAAGCAGCAGGUUAAUACCCCGCUGUUCUGACGGUACCCAAAGAAUAAGCACCGGCUAACUUCGUG